RNAcentral lists this long non-coding RNA (260 nucleotides) under Mytilus galloprovincialis (Mediterranean mussel). Lineage: Eukaryota; Metazoa; Mollusca; Bivalvia; Mytilida; Mytilidae. The record is from RNAcentral.
AUGAUAAAGUCUUCGUCGUUAUAUCUGAUGGAAAAGAACGUGAGAUAUACAGCCGUUCUGACCUGAACGAUCCUCAAGGUGUGGCUGUAGAUGACCAUGGCAAUGUGUUUAAUGCAGGAAUGGUAUCGAACAAUAUUCAUAGACUAUCUCAUGACGGACAGACUCAUGACAUUAUCCUGACAAAACACGAUGGUAUCAUUGGACCGACUGGUUUAUCUUACAACUGUGAAACAAGAGAACUGUUACUUAUAAACAACAAU